RNAcentral lists this ribosomal RNA (253 nucleotides) under uncultured bacterium. RNAcentral's name for it is "partial 16S ribosomal RNA". It matches the Rfam family "Bacterial small subunit ribosomal RNA", at positions 524 to 776 of the family's 1533-position model. The record is from RNAcentral.
UACGUAGGGUGCGAGCGUUGUCCGGAGUUAUUGGGCGUAAAGAGCUCGUAGGCGGCUGAUCGCGUCGGUUGUGAAAGCUCAGGGCUCAACCCUGAGACGCCGAUCGAUACGGAUCGGCUAGAGGUAGGUAGGGGAAAGUGGAAUUCCUGGUGUAGCGGUGAAAUGCGCAGAUAUCAGGAGGAACACCGGUGGCGAAGGCGGCUUUCUGGGCCUUACCUGACGCUGAGGAGCGAAAGCUGGGGGAGCAAACAGG